AGUGAACCAGUACCGUGAGGGAAAGGCGAAAAGAACCCCGGCGAGGGGAGUGAAAAAGAACCUGAAACCGUGUACGUACAAGCAGUGGGAGCACCUUCGGGUGUGACUGCGUACCUUUUGUAUAAUGGGUCAGCGACUUAUAUUCUGUAGCAAGGUUAACCGUAUAGGGGAGCCGCAGGGAAACCGAGUCUUAACUGGGCGUUAAGUUGCAGGGUAUAGACCCGAAACCCGGUGAUCUAGCCAUGGGCAGGUUGAAGGUUGGGUAACACUAACUGGAGGACCGAACCGACUAAUGUUGAAAAAUUAGCGGAUGACUUGUGGCUGGGGGUGAAAGGCCAAUCAAACCGGGAGAUAGCUGGUUCUCCCCGAAAGCUAUUUAGGUAGCGCCUCGUGAACUCAUCUUCGGGGGUAGAGCACUGUUUCGGCUAGGGGGUCAUCCCGACUUACCAACCCGAUGCAAACUACGAAUACCGAAGAAUGUUAUCACGGGAGACACACGGCGGGUGCUAACGUCCGUCGUGAAGAGGGAAACAACCCAGACCGCCAGCUAAGGUCCCAAAGUCACAGUUAAGUGGGAAACGAUGUGGGAAGGCACAGACAGCCAGGAUGUUGGCUUAGAAGCAGCCAUCAUUUAAAGAAAGCGUAAUAGCUCACUGGUCGAGUCGGCCUGCGCGGAAGAUGUAACGGGGCUAAACUGUGCACCGAAGCUGCGGCAGCGACACUAUGUGUUGUUGGGUAGGGGAGCGUUCUGUAAGCCUGCGAAGGUGGCCUGUGAGGGUUGCUGGAGGUAUCAGAAGUGCGAAUGCUGACAUAAGUAACGAUAAUGCGGGUGAAAAGCCCGCACGCCGGAAGACCAAGGGUUCCUGUCCAACGUUAAUCGGGGCAGGGUGAGUCGACCCCUAAGGCGAGGCCGAAAGGCGUAGUCGAUGGGAAACAGGUUAAUAUUCCUGUACUUGGUGUUACUGCGAAGGGGGGACGGAGAAGGCUAUGUUAGCCGGGCGACGGUUGUCCCGGUUUAAGCAUGUAGGCGGAGGUUCCAGGUAAAUCCGGUACCUUAUUAACGCUGAGGUGUGAUGACGAGGCACUACGGUGCUGAAGUAACAAAUGCCCUGCUUCCAGGAAAAGCCUCUAAGCAUCAGGUAACAUUAAAUCGUACCCCAAACCGACACAGGUGGUCAGGUAGAGAAUACCAAGGCGCUUGAGAGAACUCGGGUGAAGGAACUAGGCAAAAUGGUGCCGUAACUUCGGGAGAAGGCACGCUGAUAUGUAGGUGAAGCCCCUGCGGGUGGAGCUGAAAUCAGUCGAAGAUACCAGCUGGCUGCAACUGUUUAUUAAAAACACAGCACUGUGCAAACACGAAAGUGGACGUAUACGGUGUGACGCCUGCCCGGUGCCGGAAGGUUAAUUGAUGGGGUUAUCCGUAAGGAGAAGCUCUUGAUCGAAGCCCCGGUAAACGGCGGCCGUAACUAUAACGGUCCUAAGGUAGCGAAAUUCCUUGUCGGGUAAGUUCCGACCUGCACGAAUGGCGUAAUGAUGGCCAGGCUGUCUCCACCCGAGACUCAGUGAAAUUGAACUCGCUGUGAAGAUGCAGUGUACCCGCGGCAAGACGGAAAGACCCCGUGAACCUUUACUAUAGCUUGACACUGAACAUUGAGCCUUGAUGUGUAGGAUAGGUGGGAGGCUUUGAAGCGUGGACGCCAGUCUGCGUGGAGCCAACCUUGAAAUACCACCCUUUAAUGUUUGAUGUUCUAACGUUGGCCCCUGACCGGGGUUGCGGACAGUGUCUGGUGGGUAGUUUGACUGGGGCGGUCUCCUCCCAAAGAGUAACGGAGGAGCACGAAGGUUAGCUAAUCCUGGUCGGACAUCAGGAGGUUAGUGCAAUGGCAUAAGCUAGCUUGACUGCGAGCGUGACGGCGCGAGCAGGUGCGAAAGCAGGUCAUAGUGAUCCGGUGGUUCUGAAUGGAAGGGCCAUCGCUCAACGGAUAAAAGGUACUCCGGGGAUAACAGGCUGAUACCGCCCAAGAGUUCAUAUCGACGGCGGUGUUUGGCACCUCGAUGUCGGCUCAUCACAUCCUGGGGCUGAAGUAGGUCCCAAGGGUAUGGCUGUUCGCCAUUUAAAGUGGUACGCGAGCUGGGUUUAGAACGUCGUGAGACAGUUCGGUCCCUAUCUGCCGUGGGCGCUGGAGAAUUGAGGGGGGCUGCUCCUAGUACGAGAGGACCGGAGUGGACGCAUCACUGGUGUUCGGGUUGUCAUGCCAAUGGCAUUGCCCGGUAGCUAAAUGCGGAAGAGAUAAGUGCUGAAAGCAUCUAAGCACGAAACUUGCCCCGAGAUGAGUUCUCCCUGACUCCUUGAGAGUCCUGAAGGAACGUUAAAGACGAUGACGUUGAUAGGUCGGGUGUGUAAGCGUAGCGAUACGUUGAGCUAACCGAUACUAAUGAACCGUGAGGCUUAACCUU
Molecule: ribosomal RNA, 2457 nt
Filed under: Klebsiella aerogenes
Lineage: Bacteria; Pseudomonadati; Pseudomonadota; Gammaproteobacteria; Enterobacterales; Enterobacteriaceae
Description: bacterial LSU rRNA
Rfam family: Bacterial large subunit ribosomal RNA
Source: RNAcentral